Regulatory RNA element from Astyanax mexicanus (Mexican tetra), 65 nucleotides. It matches the Rfam family "Selenocysteine insertion sequence 1". From Rfam's summary of the family: The incorporation of selenocysteine into a protein sequence is directed by an in-frame UGA codon (usually a stop codon) within the coding region of the mRNA. The record is from Rfam. NCBI's taxonomy places the organism in Eukaryota, Metazoa, Chordata, Actinopteri, Characiformes, Acestrorhamphidae.
UGCUGGGUAAUGAGGACUCGUGCUAAAAGCCUCUGGGGGACGGGGACGAGUCUGAUGUCUCAGUG